AAAUAUAUGUUUGAGUUUAAAGAAAAAAUACACCUGCCUUACAAGCAGGGGGUCACUGGUUCGAAUCCAGUAUUUCCCA
Molecule: transfer RNA, 79 nt
Filed under: Luteibaculum oceani
Lineage: Bacteria; Pseudomonadati; Bacteroidota; Flavobacteriia; Flavobacteriales; Luteibaculaceae
Description: tRNA-Val
Rfam family: tRNA (bases 14-71)
About the family: Transfer RNA (tRNA) molecules are approximately 80 nucleotides in length. Their secondary structure includes four short double-helical elements and three loops (D, anti-codon, and T loops). Further hydrogen bonds mediate the characteristic L-shaped molecular structure. tRNAs have two regions of fundamental functional importance: the anti-codon, which is responsible for specific mRNA codon recognition, and the 3' end, to which the tRNAs corresponding amino acid is attached (by aminoacyl-tRNA synthetases). tRNAs cope with the degeneracy of the genetic code in two manners: having more than one tRNA (with a specific anti-codon) for a particular amino acid; and 'wobble' base-pairing, i.e. permitting non-standard base-pairing at the 3rd anti-codon position.
Source: RNAcentral